Molecule: ribosomal RNA, 538 nt
Filed under: Bifidobacterium pseudocatenulatum
Lineage: Bacteria; Bacillati; Actinomycetota; Actinomycetes; Bifidobacteriales; Bifidobacteriaceae
Description: bacterial SSU rRNA
Rfam family: Bacterial small subunit ribosomal RNA
Source: RNAcentral
GAAACGGGUGGUAAUGCCGGAUGCUCCGACUCCUCGCAUGGGGUGUCGGGAAAGAUUUCAUCGGUAUGGGAUGGGGUCGCGUCCUAUCAGGUAGUCGGCGGGGUAACGGCCCACCGAGCCUACGACGGGUAGCCGGCCUGAGAGGGCGACCGGCCACAUUGGGACUGAGAUACGGCCCAGACUCCUACGGGAGGCAGCAGUGGGGAAUAUUGCACAAUGGGCGCAAGCCUGAUGCAGCGACGCCGCGUGCGGGAUGACGGCCUUCGGGUUGUAAACCGCUUUUGAUCGGGAGCAAGCCUUCGGGUGAGUGUACCUUUCGAAUAAGCACCGGCUAACUACGUGCCAGCAGCCGCGGUAAUACGUAGGGUGCAAGCGUUAUCCGGAAUUAUUGGGCGUAAAGGGCUCGUAGGCGGUUCGUCGCGUCCGGUGUGAAAGUCCAUCGCUUAACGGUGGAUCUGCGCCGGGUACGGGCGGGCUGGAGUGCGGUAGGGGAGACUGGAAUUCCCGGUGUAACGGUGGAAUGUGUAGAUAUCGGGAA